GCUCCAUAUUUCUAACAAUUAUCAUAGAAGGUGGUUUUGAUGCGCAUUUAAUUCUCACAUUUCAGCCACUAUCCUAUUUGUCUGUAGCUUGCUUUGUAGUUUCAAUUGCCAUGAUGCUCUCUCUCUCAAACUCUUAACUGAAACUACUACUCUCGAAUACACAAGAACCAUAAGAAAUGACAAUCCCAGAAAAAAAACAACCCAAAACAACACCACAAAAUGACCUCUAACUGGUGCUUUACUCCUAUUCUCUUACUACCUCAUCAUAAUGAUAACAUGUUAC
This 283-nucleotide long non-coding RNA is filed under the name Physcomitrium patens. RNAcentral's name for it is "long non-coding RNA (PPAT_LNC002881)". The record is from RNAcentral. Lineage: Eukaryota; Viridiplantae; Streptophyta; Bryopsida; Funariales; Funariaceae.